Molecule: ribosomal RNA, 477 nt
Filed under: uncultured bacterium
Lineage: Bacteria
Description: partial 16S ribosomal RNA
Rfam family: Bacterial small subunit ribosomal RNA
Source: RNAcentral
GACGAACGCUGGCGGCGUGCUUAACACAUGCAAGUCGAACGGAAGGGCCUUCGGGGUACACGAGUGGCGAACGGGUGAGUAACACGUGGGUGAUCUGCCCUGCACUUCGGGAUAAGCCUGGGAAACUGGGUCUAAUACCGGAUAGGACUCCUGGCUUCAUGGUUGGGGGUGGAAAGCUUUUGCGGUGUAGGGUGAGCCCGCGGCCUAUCAGCUUGUUGGUGGGGUAAUGGCCUACCAAGGCGACGACGGGUAGCCGGCCUGAGAGGGUGACCGGUCACACUGGGACUGAGAUACGGCCCAGACUCCUACGGGAGGCAGCAGUGGGGAAUAUUGCACGAUGGGCGCAAGCCUGAUGCAGCGACGCCGCGUGAGGGAUGACGGCCUUCGGGUUGUAAACCUCUUUCAGCUAUGACGAAGCGCAAGUGACGGUAGUAGCAGAAGAAGGACCGGCCAACUACGUGCCAGCCGCCGCCGUAA